RNAcentral lists this ribosomal RNA (179 nucleotides) under uncultured bacterium. RNAcentral's name for it is "partial 16S ribosomal RNA". It matches the Rfam family "Bacterial small subunit ribosomal RNA", at positions 1320 to 1500 of the family's 1533-position model. The record is from RNAcentral.
AUGAAGCCGGAAUUGCUAGUAAUGGCAGGUCAGCAUACUGCCGUGAAUACGUUCCCGGGCCUUGUACACACCGCCCGUCACACCAUGAGAGUUGGAGAUACCCGAAGCCUGUGAGCUAACAAACGAGGCAGCAGUCGAAGGUAGAAUCAAUGAUUGGGGUGAAGUCGUAACAAGGUAGC